ACCAAUUUCCAAAAGACCUUCUUUCGCAGCAAUUUCUUGUAAUUUACCGCACUCCUUAAUGUCCUUCACAUUCAUUCCAACCCUAGUUAUAUGGUUUUUCCACAUCUUCUCUUUCAUUAUCCUCUCCAUCCUAGCCUUCCUCACGUCUUCCUAUAACAUUUCUUAAUAUUUUUAUCACAUAUCUGAAUUUUAUGUUAAC
RNAcentral lists this long non-coding RNA (199 nucleotides) under Zostera marina. Its description in RNAcentral is "long non-coding RNA (ZMAR_LNC000967)". Lineage: Eukaryota; Viridiplantae; Streptophyta; Magnoliopsida; Alismatales; Zosteraceae. The record is from RNAcentral.